AUACCCUUAAUAUUUCUUGAUCAACCCAAAAAAUAUGAAUCCAAACAGAAUUCUUACUGUUAUAGAGGUUACCUACUAUCUGACCCAACUUUCCCUCCUCGAAUCAUAGCUAAGCAUCUAUCGAUGAUCCGACAAGACCACCUCAGAUGUCGGAGAGAGAUAUGAGGAUUCAAGGUGAAGCGGGGCUUUAUCAUCAACUCUUGUUUGAUCUCC
RNAcentral lists this long non-coding RNA (213 nucleotides) under Elaeis guineensis (African oil palm). RNAcentral describes it as "long non-coding RNA (EGUI_LNC002961)". Lineage: Eukaryota; Viridiplantae; Streptophyta; Magnoliopsida; Arecales; Arecaceae. The record is from RNAcentral.